AGUGAACGCUGGCGGUAGGCCUAACACAUGCAAGUCGAACGGCAGCACAGUAAGAGCUUGCUCUUACGGGUGGCGAGUGGCGGACGGGUGAGGAAUACAUCGGAAUCUACUUUUUCGUGGGGGAUAACGUAGGGAAACUUACGCUAAUACCGCAUACGACCUACUGGUGAAAGCAGGGGAUCUUCGGACCUUGCGCGAUUGAAUGAGCCGAUGUCGGAUUAGCUAGUUGGCGGGGUAAAGGCCCACCAAGGCGACGAUCCGUAGCUGGUCUGAGAGGAUGAUCAGCCACACUGGAACUGAGACACGGUCCAGACUCCUAAGGGAGGCAGCAGGGGGGAAUAUUGGACAAUGGGCGCAAGCCUGAUCCAGCCAUACCGCGUGGGUGAAGAAGGCCUUCGGGUUGUAAAGCCCUUUUGUUGGGAAAGAAAAGCAGCAGGUUAAUACCCCGCUGUUCUGACGGUACCCAAAGAAUAAGCACCGGCUAACUUCGUG
RNAcentral lists this ribosomal RNA (492 nucleotides) under uncultured bacterium. RNAcentral describes it as "partial 16S ribosomal RNA". It matches the Rfam family "Bacterial small subunit ribosomal RNA", at positions 29 to 507 of the family's 1533-position model. The record is from RNAcentral.